Long non-coding RNA from Mobula hypostoma (lesser devil ray), 1954 nucleotides. RefSeq lists it as uncharacterized. NCBI's taxonomy places the organism in Eukaryota, Metazoa, Chordata, Chondrichthyes, Myliobatiformes, Myliobatidae. The record is from RefSeq and is a predicted model, not a curated record. The transcript has 6 exons.
CAAACAAGGUGUUCGGCUCCCAGUGACUGAAGUCACAUUGGGACACACACAACGCUGCCAUCAUUAGAGGCAGGUUAUUUUUAAACCUAGCCUACGGUCGCGGGCUCCUUUCCAUCAAAACAUUCAGCGUUAUUUCAGCUGAAUACUGCCAUUUAAAUCCACCAGCGAACCUAGAGGGAGACUUUGGAAGACGUGAUACUUGGAUUCCACAUGUGCUGUGCUGGACCAGCUUCCUUCCACGCUCCCACAAAGAAUAAACACGGAAAUUCACACGACUUUCCCGGGGUAGCAGACAACCUUCAAAGAGAAAAAAAUAUGUGAGCAUUCUGGAAAAGAACAGAAAAAGUCUCUAGAUGGUUGCUAUGCACGAAUGCUCCGGAUGGCUCUUGAUGUGAGUUGGCAACAGUACAUGACGAACGUUGAGCUCUAUAACAACCUACCGACGCUCUCCACUAAAAUCGAGGCGAGAAGACUGCAACUAGCGGAACACUGUCUACGCCACCCCGAGCUACCUGCCAGCCUAGUCAUCAUAUGGGAGCCCAAGCACGGGAGGAUGAACCCUGGGCGCCCUCCCAAGACUAUGGUCAACAUGCUCCGAGAAGACAGCGGCGCGGCUAAUGUAGAUGAACUGAACACACUGAUGAGGGAGAGGGAGAAGUGGAAAGUCUAUCAUCGUGCCCGACGCUGGCCCCCUAGGCCUGAGUUGACGUAGUAGUAGUUCAUUAACCCAUUGUUGCAAUUCCCAUUUGGGUGGCAUCCUUCAAUACGGUGCCCAAGCAAUCUUUUUUUUAUGUGGAAAGUUGAACAAUUGAUGAUGGGCUCUUCAACUGAGGUAAUUGUAAUUGAGCCCAAUCCUGUUUCAGCCAGUGUCCUUAUGGAUGUACGUGCAGAGCAAUCAAGAUCAAAAACCAAGGCAAAUAGAGUCAAGCAUAAUGUCUCCAUUACUGCUGAAAGACAUCAUAUUCUAAAAUCAGAACUUAAAUAAGUAUAAUUGACGGUGGAAAAAUAAAUAGUGAAUUUUCAUUUAUUAUAAAUAACAAAACUUUUAGAAUGUAUUUAUGACAGCACACAUAAUUCAUAAAUUGUUUGAGUUUUGCUGCUGUUUGUCAUUUCAUCUAUGCAUAUUAUGGUUUCAUUGAGCUGUUUUCCAUCAGAUGACCUACUCUGUGUUCUUAAUUUUUAGUCGGUGGUACUUGGGUCUUUUUGAUUAGGAUGUACCUCUGUAAAACUUGUGUAAUAUUGUGAUGUUUUACUAUUUCUCCUGCUUAUGCAGGCCUCUGUGUGCUGCCAGUGCAAACUCAAUAUCAUCUUGAAUGCCCUUUCUCAAUUUUGAGUGGUCCUGGGGUGAGAGGUUCCAAGGAGCAUCUCUUCAAGGAGGCUUUGAGCACAUUGUUGACGUUUUUUUUCUCUCUGUCCACCUGGUAAUCUGCUUCCAUGACUGAGAUCAGACUUGUGUGUCUACUUUGGAUCUUUGAUGUCAGGUGUUCCAACAACAUAUCAAAAACAGGCAACACACACAAAAUGCUGGAGGAACUCAGCAGCUCAAGCAGCAUCGAUGGAAGAGAGUAUGGUCAAUGUUUCAGGCCAAGACCCUCCAUCAGAACAGAAGAAAAAAUGAUGAGGAAUCAGAGUUCAAAUGUUGAUUCUGAAUAUCAUGGCAAAACAAGCAUUUAUUGCUCAUCCCCAAGUUCCUCUGAGAAGUCACGGCCUUGAAUCACUGACACACAAGAUUCUACAGAAGUCCUGAUGAAGGGGUCUCGCUGUGAACUCGGCUGCUGCCUCUGUUGCUGCUGUCGUUGGUGUUGCUUGUGUUGUCCUGCUGAACACCGUGGGCACGCUACGUUGGUGCUGGAAUGUGCGGUAACACUUGCGGGCUGCCCCCAGCACGUUACUCCGGUCAUAUUGGUUGUUAAUGCAAAUGAUGCAUUUCGCUAUACGUUUUGAUGUAUGUGUA